RNAcentral lists this ribosomal RNA (449 nucleotides) under uncultured bacterium. RNAcentral describes it as "partial 16S ribosomal RNA". It matches the Rfam family "Bacterial small subunit ribosomal RNA", at positions 354 to 796 of the family's 1533-position model. The record is from RNAcentral.
GUCGAGAAUCUUUCACAAUGGGGGCAACCCUGAUGGAGCGACGCCGCGUGGAGGAUAAGGUCUUCGGAUUGUAAACUCCUGUCAUGCGUGAACAAGGUUGCUUGGUUAAUACCUGGGCAAAUUGAUGGUAACGCAAGAGGAAGAGACGGCUAACUCUGUGCCAGCAGCCGCGGUAAUACAGAGGUCUCAAGCGUUGUUCGGAAUCACUGGGCGUAAAGGGUGAGUAGGUGGCGUGGUAAGUCAGAUGUGAAAGCCCGGGGCUCAACCUCGGAACUGCAUCCGAUACUGCCAUGCUAGAGUACUGGAGAGGUGACUAGAAUUCUCGGUGUAGCAGUGAAAUGCGUAGAUAUCGAGAGGAAUACCAAAGGCGUAGGCAGGUCACUGGACAGUUACUGACACUGAGGCACGAAGGCCAGGGGAGCGAACGGGAUUAGAAACCCGGGUAGUCC